AACGACGGUGUUACGGUUAUCGAUGACGGAGACGGAGGUGGAUUGUUCGGAGAAGGAGGUGAGUGGUGGUGUUUCACGGUGGUGAGUUGAGGGAGAAGAUGGAGUAGUGAGCACCGUUGGUUGGUGGUGAGAGGCGGAUUCACGGCGGUGGCUAGGAGAAGGUUAGGAGGCGAUCGCGGAUGUAAUUGGAGGUUAUCGACGGCGGUCGUAGAUGUUAUUGUUGUGGGUUGUUUGUUAUUGUGAAGAAGAAGAAGGUUUUGUGGUGUGGGGAGUGAGGGAAAUUUUGAGGGAGGUUCAAGGAGGUUAUGGAGUUUUUACGGUGGUGGUGAAGAUGAACAGAGAGGAUUAGCGGAGGCGAAAGAAGUGGUGUAGUGAUGAAUUUCACAAUUGGAUGGGGAAAUGAAGAAAUUUUUUCCCUUUUUCCAGAAGAAGAGUCUUUACCCUUUUUAUUAUUUUCCCCCUUUCUGGCCAAUAGCCAAGAGAGAGAUGGUACUCCACCGAGUCUCCUCUCUGUUUUCUUUCUUUUUCUUUCGUUUUUUCUUUUUAAGAGAGAGAGAUAUGCUGAGUCGUGGGAGAGAGACGUGAGGUGUGCGUUUUUUUCAAUUUUCUUUUUCUUUUUCUGUUGGAUCAGAGAGAGAGGGAGUAGGUUAGUUGAGUGAAUUCAGUGGGUGAGUCGUGUUGAAUGUGAAGAGAGUGAAGGAAGAUUUCUUUUCCAAUUUUGUUUUUUUUUAAUUACCAACUGUUGGAGCCAGCUGUAGUACUGCUAGCUGUCCACUAGCAGAGCAAGGAAUCCAAUGUUGUCAAUAUUUGCUUUGAAAAUAAUUAUUAUUUAUUUCUAAUCAACAUUUUAUAUUUAAACAAAUAGAUAAAUUUUAAUUUCUU
This 882-nucleotide long non-coding RNA is filed under the name Lathyrus oleraceus (garden pea). Its description in RNAcentral is "Pisum sativum (pea) long non-coding RNA (PSAT_LNC008237)". The record is from RNAcentral. Lineage: Eukaryota; Viridiplantae; Streptophyta; Magnoliopsida; Fabales; Fabaceae.